UAAACACAUGCAAAGUCGAGCGCGCCUUCGGGGUGAGCGGCGGACGGGUGAGUAAACGCGUGGGAAUAUGCCCUUUCGGUGCGGAAUAGUCUUGGGAAACUGAGGGUAAUACCGCAUACGCCCUUCGGGGGAAAGAUUUAUCGCCGAAAGAUUAGCCCGCGUUGGAUUAGGUAGUUGGUGGGGUAAUGGCCUACCAAGCCGACGAUCCAUAGCUGGUUUGAGAGGAUGAUCAGCCACACUGGGACUGAGACACGGCCCAGACUCCUACGGGAGGCAGCAGUGGGGAAUCUUAGACAAUGGGGGCAACCCUGAUCUAGCCAUGCCGCGUGAGUGAUGAAGGCCUUAGGGUUGUAAAGCUCUUUCAGCUGGGAAGAUAAUGACGGUACCAGCAGAAGAAGCCCCGGCUAACUCCGUGC
Molecule: ribosomal RNA, 416 nt
Filed under: uncultured Devosia sp.
Lineage: Bacteria; Pseudomonadati; Pseudomonadota; Alphaproteobacteria; Hyphomicrobiales; Devosiaceae
Description: bacterial SSU rRNA
Rfam family: Bacterial small subunit ribosomal RNA
Source: RNAcentral